AUGGAUCCGGGACUAGUAGGUGUCCAAAUCCGGCAAGCAACGUCGCCGCUGAGGCACUCGACGGCAAGCCCCUUCCAUGGAGAACCACCACUUCCCGGAGAGCGAAACGAGCGUGCGCAAAGUUCCUCGUGGGCUACUCUGUAUGACGGAUCCACCGUGCAGUCCGCACGCGGACCCUUGUUCGCCUGCCCACCUUGCAAUGGCAGUCGCCGGUCGCUGAACUUUCGCGCGGAGGCGGCCAAGGAUGCAAAAGUGGCGGAGCGGCAACGAGAUCUCAUUUUCUUGCCCCCUGAGAAGCUACCCCUCCUCCCCUUACAGUCAAACUGCCCCGACCUUGCAGUGCGCCGGCGCGGGCGAUGUGGUUCGUGCCUUGCCAUGUUGUUGCCCCUCUGUGCGUUUUUUGGUGUUCUUCUGAAGAGAUAUAAAUAUGCAAAUACAGUCCAUUGUUGUUUUUCUCUUCAGGUUUAUUUUUACUUCUCUUUUUUUGCAGAAAAGAUAGCCAGUGCAUUCCGCCAACCUCCUCCCACAUGCCCACCUAGAGUGCAAGCCUGUUGGGCACCCGUGGAUCAGCGACGACUGUCGUGCAGUAUGCAUCAAUGA
RNAcentral lists this ribosomal RNA (600 nucleotides) under Triticum aestivum (bread wheat). Its description in RNAcentral is "partial small subunit ribosomal RNA". The record is from RNAcentral. Lineage: Eukaryota; Viridiplantae; Streptophyta; Magnoliopsida; Poales; Poaceae.